This is a non-coding RNA of Crenichthys baileyi (White River springfish), 93 nucleotides long. NCBI's taxonomy places the organism in Eukaryota, Metazoa, Chordata, Actinopteri, Cyprinodontiformes, Goodeidae. The record is from the annotation of a GenBank genome assembly.
GGCACUGAUGGUGUAGGGGUUAGCGUGCGACCAUAUGCAGAGGCUACAGUCCUCAGACGGCUGUCCCGGGUUCGAGUCCCAGACCCGGCGUCA